UAAUAUUAAUUAACCUUGUCAAAACUAGUAUGGACAAGGGAAAUCCGUCUGGUUAAUUAAAACAAAUCAUUGUGAUGGUCCCCACGGAUGCUAACACAAUGUGAUUUAUGCCAAGUGCUUUGCAUUUCAAAGUGAAGAAAUUCAACCAAGCAUGGGUAAAUGAAUAGAGUAACUAUGAAUAUCUUAAGGUAGUUAGAUGCCUAUGUGUCAUAUAAUUAUUAACACACAUGAAUGGAUUAACAAUAUUCCCACCAUCCCAAGCUACUAUCUAUAGAAACCACAACCAAGGGAACUAUUGG
Molecule: non-coding RNA, 299 nt
Organism: Picea glauca (white spruce)
Lineage: Eukaryota; Viridiplantae; Streptophyta; Pinopsida; Pinales; Pinaceae
Source: Rfam